This 301-nucleotide long non-coding RNA is filed under the name Elaeis guineensis (African oil palm). RNAcentral's name for it is "long non-coding RNA (EGUI_LNC081060)". The record is from RNAcentral. Lineage: Eukaryota; Viridiplantae; Streptophyta; Magnoliopsida; Arecales; Arecaceae.
UGAAAAAGUUUUAAAAUUACCAUUUUACCCCUGCACUGAAUUUUCACCACAAAUGCACAUUCCAAUUCUGAAAUAUUUAGCAUUACCACAGGAGAAAAUUAUCUCGUUAUAGUCAAUACCAUAAUAUUGACAAUAUCCUUAGGCAACCAGAUGGGUAUUUUAGGUCUCCACCGUCUUAUCUGCACUUUCUAAUCCUAUUGAAGAUCCACUUACACCCUUUGGAUUUUAUCUUUUCGAGUGGAUCAACGAGUGUCCAUACAUCGUUGAGCAUUAUGGACUUCAUUUCAGACUUUAUGGCCCA